AAUUCUAUAGACUUUAUUUAAAAACCUGCUGGAGAACCAAAACCACUGAAGACUGAAAAAGAAACCCUGAUACCUGGCCUGGAAGAAACUGUUACUAUGCAAAGUUACAGACAAAAGGUUGUAUGUACUGAGCCAGUAAACAAGGACUUGUUACAUGAAAUCCCAAGUUUGCACAUGCAUGCUAAGAACAUUAAACAGUCUAUAAGUAGUUACAAUUCAUACACAGGAAGGAUGCUUUACUGGUUGGUCGUUCAGCUCCCAGAAGAUGUUCCUUUACGACAGAUUAAGCUGUAUUACUGGAAAGUUCUCCCAGUACACUAGUUUAGAAAAUACGUACAACUUCAAUCACUGUCUGAAAUUUGCCCCAAUGCCAAAGAACACCACAAGACCUGUGAUUACUAAAUCCUGCUUUUGGAAGAUGAAGUUGUUCACAGGCUUUUGCUAGCCCUCAGGAGAAGCCAGAUUUCAUGUUCACAAAAUAUUUUAUCCCAGAGAACUGAAAAGGAGACAGGAUCGUGAUGGCACAUUUGGCAGUCUACGAUCCUCGAGUGUCACAGAAGCUUUAGAACAGGCUUUUGCAGUUUGUUCAAUUCCCUUCAAACAGAAUUCUGCUUCCAUCGGAAUGAAAGCAUUUCAAAUGGUCUUCCUUUAUGUUCACUCUCAAAAUUAAAUAAAAUAUAAUUGUUUGUUUUGGCAAAAUAGAAAGUAAAGCUGUCUUCUAAGCACAAGUAUAGCAUGACCCCUCUUUUUUUUUAAGUGAAUUUAUGGUACUCCACCACUGAUCCUUGAAGGACUUACUAGCGGGUUUCCAAGCCUGCUACUGUCUUCCCCUUCAACAUCUAAGAAUAAGCUCCUUAUUGAAAGAACAUGAAACAACUAUAUCCUUCCUCACAUCAUCUUUUACACUUUUAUCCUGCCAGCACCUCUUCUUCAUUAGCUUCUGGCAAAUACAUGUUCUUCGAUAGCGCAUUAGAAAGGCCUGCCUAAGCCAAGUCCUCCUUCAAACGCCAGAUUUUUGUAUGAAGGUGUUUCUGUAAUAGAUCCAGUUAACUACUAACCGGGGGAAAAAAAGACAAAAUUAUUGUGUUUACAACAACAAGAGAAGUACAUGCAACUGGGCGGACAUUUGCCAUACAUAAAGCAUCUUUGGGGAGAAAAUAAGAGAGCAGAAAAAACAAAUAAUGGAUUUUCAGGACCCGAUGUCAAUUAACCUAACUGGCAAGUAAGAUCUUGCAGGACAAAAGUUAUGAAGAGAGCAGUUUCUCUACCAAAGGCGCAAGUGCAAGCUAUCUUAACGCAAAGAAAUGAAAUGUUAACAGGAGAAGGUGAUUUGACUCAGGUGUAACAAGAAAACAGAGGAAAGGAAACAAGAAAUCAGAACUGUAUUGGCUUUCUUAAAGGAUCAGUAUAAAAGAAUGGCAGGACAUACAAGGACAGAAAUUAAAAAGGCCAGAGAUAUAAAGAGCAACGAGAGAAUGAUCUACAGGCAUACUAGUAGGAAAGCAACAACUCUAAGAAUUGUUGGUCUGCUGUCCUGAGAGAGCACUACAGGGCGGGUAAUGUCAAGAAGGAAGAAGCCUUUACUGUUCAUCGCUAAAAAGGUUAACAGAAAAUGGGAACUAGCUCAGCUAAACAAAGGGCAAGAUUUCAGCCUUGAAAAAGGGCUGAAACAAGUUAAGGAGUGCUCACCUAAGCCAGAUGUUUUAAAAACUGUCGAGUCUAGACUUCUUCCAGAAAAAUGUUCUUAGAAGUGUGAACAGUUACCUUUCAAAACUCAUGGAGGAUAAUUAGGUAUCUGAAGACUAGAAGUGGCAAAUGUGCUAGUCACUCUUUUGCAAAAUUCCCAUCAAAUCCUCGAAAACUUUGACAAUGAAUAAUCAAAUAAAUUACUAGUUUGUGUCUAGAAGGUAAUGGAGAGGAGUUGGCAGCAAACAUAGAUCUGUAAAGACAAGGCACAUAGCAUUGAUCCAAUUUCUUCUCCUGUCACAGCAACAGGUCUUAUGGACAGAAUAAAAGUGUCAGAAUAACAAUUUCAUUAUAGUAAGACUUUUACCAGUAUCUGUAUGAGGUUCUCAUAAGCAAACAAGGGAAGAAUAGCUAUCAUGAAAUUUUAGUAAGAUAAGUAAAAAAACUGUUGAAUAUC
RNAcentral lists this long non-coding RNA (2143 nucleotides) under Strigops habroptila (Kakapo). Its description in RNAcentral is "lncRNA (ENSSHBG00005006902.1)". Lineage: Eukaryota; Metazoa; Chordata; Aves; Psittaciformes; Psittacidae. The record is from RNAcentral.